GGUUACCUCGAUCAGGAGG
This 19-nucleotide ribosomal RNA is filed under the name fungal endophyte sp. AP487. RNAcentral describes it as "partial 28S ribosomal RNA". The record is from RNAcentral. Lineage: Eukaryota; Fungi.